CUCGGUGGUUAUGGCGGAAGGGUCACACCCGUUCCCAUUCCGAACACGGAAGUUAAGCCUUCCAGCGCCGAUGGUACUACACGGGCAACUGUGUGGGAGAGUAGGACACUGCCGGGG
Molecule: ribosomal RNA, 117 nt
Filed under: Desulfuromonas sp. SDB
Lineage: Bacteria; Pseudomonadati; Thermodesulfobacteriota; Desulfuromonadia; Desulfuromonadales; Desulfuromonadaceae
Source: RNAcentral